UCUCCCCGCCCCCCCCCCCCCCCCCCCCCCGCACAUUCCUUGCCCCGCCCACUCUGUUUCAGCCCGUCCUGUGUGUCGGGGGCGGCUCUCUAUAAAGCCUAGAUCCCCCACCAAACACACACGCAAGAGGAGUAGCUAGAGAGGUUGGCAGGGCUAGUGCUCAAGUCACCAAGGAUCUAAGUGACCACCAGAAGUGCCAUGUUUCCAGAACUGGGGACACCACGAAGGGCAGCUCUGGCAUUGAAACCUAUGAACAGCAGCCCACCAGUGAGUCCAGGUUUCAGUCAACCAACCAAGUGAGGUACUAGAUUUCGGACCAGCUAUGCGCACUAACACAUUCAGUCUGGAACCUCAGGUUUCAGGGUUCCACUCCUCUGACCGCUGCCCGGCCUUUCACAUGAGGAACGUGGAGAGGCUGGGAAUUCAACUGACACUGGGAUCCUGUGACCCUCACAAUUGAAUGUUGCGUUGGAUUUUCAGCACUGUCAGCCCUGCAGUACAGGAAGCAAGAGAGGUUUUAGGGCUGUCAUGGAAGUUCUCUGGUUGUCAUACUGUGACUUGAGCUGAGAGGAAGAUUAGCCCUGAGCUAACUACUGCCGAUCCUCCUCUUUUUGCUGAGGAAGACUGGCCCUGAGCUAACAUCCAUGCCCAUCUUCCUCUGCUGAAUACGUGGGACGCCUACCACAGCAUGGCUUUUUGCCAGGGGGUGCCAUGUCCGCACCCGGGAUCCGAACCGGCGAACCCUGGGCUGCUGAGAAGUGGAACGUGCGAACUUAAC
RNAcentral lists this long non-coding RNA (778 nucleotides) under Equus asinus (donkey). RNAcentral's name for it is "lncRNA (ENSEASG00005024728.1)". Lineage: Eukaryota; Metazoa; Chordata; Mammalia; Perissodactyla; Equidae. The record is from RNAcentral.